CAAAUACCUUAAUGCUUAAAUUGCUCAACGCACACAUCUCUCCCCCAAUCGAAUGUGUUCCAUCUCUGCCUUUUUGGUGGGAGAUGCAACAUCUGCAGGCAACAUUUUGAUCCCUGUCCCUAUAGGUUAUAACUAAAUUGACGUCGAUAACGACGAUGUUAAGAGGUUUCAAAACCCUAUUUCACAUCUGUGCGAGUUCUCCGCUGCUGUCUCUUGAUCGGAGGUUCUUCAAUCCUCACGUUGGUUCACAUCUGUGCCGUGGUAGUUCGAUUUCUGGUUUCCGCUGCGGACUUUCUUUGGGGUGAUGCAAGCAUUGAUGAACUCAAAGGAUUGUCGUGCGUUGCUGCCUCUGCCAUUAACGGUGAAAGCAGAGGAGGGAAGGGCAUGAAAGGAAUCAACAGAGCUGUUUUGGGUUAAGAUAGUUCUAAUUGUGAUCCCGUGAGUCUCAAUUCUCAUUCUUUUCAUACACGAUGCCUACACUCCUCUUUUAAUUUUCAACUUUUUUUUUUUUUUCUUUUCAAUUCCUAGAUCGUAUGAUAUGUUUCAUAUCCUUUUGUUUCUUGUUUAUUUUGAGAGGAUUGGUUUUCCUUCUAUUUUAUUCUCUUACAGAAUAGUUUUUCCAUUUUUUGUUUUCCAAUCCCUCUAUCAUGUGUAUGAGGCACGACCGCACGAGCAUGAGACAAGUUGGGGAUUCUGAUUUCUCAACCCGUACGGGAAUCUCCUUCCCGGAGAACCGGGCCGAGAUCCGUAGUGGUUUCAAUAAUUGGAAACCAUCACCGUCCGCUGCAGCGGUGGGUCUUCGACCCUAACGACAGCCAGAGACUCGAAUUUGAUGCGAAGGUGUUCGGUUAUAACCUAACGAGGAGCAAGAACUAUAAUCGCAAGGGCUUUGGCCACAAAGAAGAAACACUCGAGCUCAUAAUCGUGAGUAUACCGAAGAUAUCUUCCACAGAUCCUCUCUCUGACACUCUUUCCUUCCGUUCACUCGUAUCUUCAACAUACGCACUUGUAUUGUCAACAUCGUUGACGGCCGCGAUUGUGCAGGGAUAAAGAAGGGCUGAUGGGUGCGUAGAAAAUCCUCUAAAAUCCAUGAUGAAGGU
This is a long non-coding RNA of Macadamia integrifolia, 1100 nucleotides long. RefSeq lists it as uncharacterized. The transcript has 3 exons. NCBI's taxonomy places the organism in Eukaryota, Viridiplantae, Streptophyta, Magnoliopsida, Proteales, Proteaceae. The record is from RefSeq and is a predicted model, not a curated record.